Molecule: ribosomal RNA, 1367 nt
Filed under: uncultured prokaryote
Description: partial 16S ribosomal RNA
Rfam family: Bacterial small subunit ribosomal RNA
Source: RNAcentral
AUGAACGCUGGCGGCGCGCUUAACACAUGCGAGUCGAACGAGAACGUUCCUUCGGGGACUAGUAAAGUGGCAAACGGGUGAGUAACGCGUGAGUAUCUACCAUUUGGUGAAGGAUACCUUUGAGAAAUUGAAGUUAAUCCUGCAUACACUUGAAAAAGGAAAGGCGGCCUCUUGCUGUCGCCAAAUGAUGAACUCGCGUCUUAUUAGCUUGUUGGUAGGGUAAUGGCCUACCAAGGCGAUAAUGAGUAGCCGGCCUGAGAGGGUGUACGGCCACACUGGGACUGAGAUACGGCCCAGACUCCUACGGGAGGCAGCAGUGGGGAAUUUUGUGCAAUGGGCGAAAGCCUGACACAGCGACGCCGCGUGGAGGAUGAAGGUUUUAGGAUCGUAAACUCCUGUUAAAUGGGAAGAAAGACCUAGCUCUAAUACAGCUAGGGGAUGACGGUACCAUUAGAGAAAGUCCCGGCUAACUUCGUGCCAGCAGCCGCGGUAAUACGAGGGGGACAAGCGUUAUUCGGAGUAACUGGGCGUAAAGAGUGCGUAGGCGGCUUUUUUAGUCAGUUGUUAAAUUUCACGGCCUAACCGUGAGCAUGCGAUUGAAACUGGGGAGCUAGAGAUUGGAAGAGAGGGAUGGAAUUCUCGGAGUAGCGGUAAAAUGCGUAGAUCUCGAGAGGAACACCGAUGGCGAAAGCAGUCCCUUGGUCCAACACUGACGCUAAAGCGCGAAAGCGUGGGUAGCAAACAGGAUUAGAUACCCUGGUAGUCCACGCCGUAAACGAUGAUCACUAGAUGUGGGAUUCCUUCGGGGGUUCCGUGUCGAAGCUAACGCGUUAAGUGAUCCGCCUGGGGAGUACGGUCGCAAGACUAAAACUCAAAGGAAUUGACGGGGGCCCGCACAAGCGGUGGAACAUGUGGUUUAAUUCGACAUUACGCGAGAAACCUUACCUAGUCUUGACAUGCUUUUGACAGCUUUUGAAAGAAAGUUUCCUAGUUUACUAGGCAAAAGCACAGGUGCUGCAUGGCUGUCGUCAGCUCGUGUCGUGAGAUGUUGGGUUAAGUCCUUUAACGAGCGCAACCCUUGUCGUUAGUUGCUAGCCUUCGGGUGCACUCUAACGAGACUGCCUGGGGAACCAGGAGGAAGGUGGGGAUGACGUCAAGUCCUCAUGGCCUUUAUGUCUAGGGCAACACACGUGUUACAAUGGCAAGUACAGAGGGGAGCUAACCCGCGAGGUGGAGCAAAUCCCAUAAAACCUGUCUAAGUUCGGAUUGGAGUCUGAAAUUCGACUCCAUGAAGUUGAAAUCGCUAGUAAUCGCGCAUCAGAACGGCGCGGUGAAUACGUUCCCGGGCCUUGUACACACCGCCCGUC